RNAcentral lists this long non-coding RNA (721 nucleotides) under Felis catus (domestic cat). RNAcentral describes it as "lncRNA (ENSFCAG00000048176.1)". The record is from RNAcentral. Lineage: Eukaryota; Metazoa; Chordata; Mammalia; Carnivora; Felidae.
AUGUCACUAAUGCCAGAACGAGACAAAGGGUUAAUCGUAUUGUGGAGGUGUUGGAGUGUGGAGAAUGUCACGGAUUUUUUAAAACUAAUUUUGUCACCCCUAUCUGAAUGGAGGAGGGAAGGAGUCCAAUUUCAUUGGUUUCUGGGCCUUCCCACACCUCUCCAAGGUCUCACAGGAUCUGGAAUCGAUCUCACUGGCCUCCAGGAUGAGAGCUUUGUUCCACCAUGCCCAAAGCACUCCUGCUGCUGUGUGUUGUCCUGGUGCUACUUGGGCUUGUGCCUGGAGCCACAGUGAGAAACGGAGAGAAAUGGAAGCCGCUCAACAAUCCCCGGAACAGAGAGCUGGUGUCUGGCUAUUUUAAAACUACAGAUCAAGCUUCUCAUCAGAAAAAUUCAAUCAUGGUCAUGGCUAAACCUUUUCCCCCUCCACUUUUGUCAAUUUAUAAUGGUUUUAUUCUACAUUUCCAGAUUUACAUAUAAAUGGGUCGAGCUUUGGGACAUAUGUGACUUAUGUGCAUAUUUUUGGAGUCUUUUUUCCAUUCUAUAAACCAUAAACAUCAAUGUAGAGCACUGGACAUAUUUCUAAGAGUUACAAAAAUACUGUAGAGUCCAAAGAGAUGAUGAUCUUUCAAAUUACCUUUCCUUUAAGCUUGUCUUUCAAGCUUGUGUGCUUAUUACCUUUUAUCAAUAAAUAUUAAAAAAUUUUUUUANGUUUAUUUAUU